Molecule: ribosomal RNA, 319 nt
Filed under: uncultured soil bacterium
Lineage: Bacteria
Description: bacterial SSU rRNA
Rfam family: Bacterial small subunit ribosomal RNA
Source: RNAcentral
AGAGUGAACGCUGGCGGUAGGCCUAACACAUGCAAGUCGAACGGCAGCACGGUAAGAGCUUGCUCUUAUGGGUGGCGAGUGGCGGACGGGUGAGGAAUACAUCGGAAUCUACCUUUUGGUGGGGGAUAACGUAGGGAAACUUACGCUAAUACCGCAUACGCCCUUCGGGGGAAAGCCGGGGACCAGCAAUGGCCUGGCGCUGAUAGAUGAGCCGAUGUCGGAUUAGCUAGUUGGUGAGGUAAUGGCUCACCAAGGCGACGAUCCGUAGCUGGUCUGAGAGGAUGAUCAGCCACACUGGAACUGAGACACGGUCCAGACU